This 1746-nucleotide long non-coding RNA is filed under the name Salmo salar (Atlantic salmon). RNAcentral's name for it is "lncRNA (ENSSSAG00000109711.1)". The stretch from base 208 to 261 matches the Rfam family "UnaL2 LINE 3' element". The record is from RNAcentral. Lineage: Eukaryota; Metazoa; Chordata; Actinopteri; Salmoniformes; Salmonidae.
AAAAUAUCCCUCUUAUCUAAACAUAUACCCAAACCCAUGAAAACAAAUACCCUCUGCCACAUCCUGACCAAGCUACAAUAACAAAUAGACCCCUAUACUGGUCAGGACGUGACAAGCAUGGUGUGUGCAACGCCAGGGUUGUGGGUUCGAUUCCCACGGGGGGCCAGUACAAAAAAAUAAAAAAAUAAAUGCAUGAAAUGAAAUGUAUGCAUUCACUACUGUAAGUCGCUCUGGAUAAGAGCUUCUGCUAAAUGACUAAAAUGUAAAUGUAAGGCAAUAACUAGGCCAUAGAAGACAGACUGGUUAUGGGGUUAGGACUGUUAUGGGGUAAGGACUGGUUGUUAUGAGGUUAGGACUGUUAUGGGGUUAGGACUAGUUGUUAUGAGGUUAGGACUCAUGGGGUUGGGACUGGUUGUUAUGGGGUUGGGACUGGUUGUUAUGGGGUUAGGAAUCAUGGGGUUGGGACUGGUUGUUAUGGGGUUAGGACUGGUUGUUAUGAGGUUAGGACUGGUUGUUAUGGGGUUAGGACUGGUGGUUAUGGGGUUAGGACUGGUGGUUAUGGGGUUAGGACUGGUGGUUAUGGGGUUAGGACUCAUGGGGUUGGGACUGGUUGUUAUGGGGUUAGGACUGGUUGUUAUGGGGUUAGGACUGGUUGUUAUGGGGUUAGGACUGGUUGUUAUGGGGUUAGGACUGGUGGUUAUGGGGUUGGGACUGGUUGUUAUGAGGUUAGGUCUCAUGGGGUUGGGACUGGUUGUUACGGGGUUGGGACUGGUUGUUAUGGGGUUAGGACUGGUUGUUACGGGGUUGGGACUGGUUGUUAUGGGGGUUAGGACUGGUUGUUAUGGGGUUAGGACUGGUGGUUAUGGGGUUAGGACUGGUGGUUAUGGGGUUAGGACUGGUUGUUAUGGGGUUAGGACUGGUUCUUAUGGGGUUAGGACUGGUUGUUACAGGUUGGGACUGGUUGUUAUGGGGUUAGGACUGGUUGUUAUGGGGUUGGGACUGGUGGUUAUGGGGUUGGGACUGGUUGUUAUGGGGGUUAGGACUGGUUGUUAUGGGGUUAGGACUGGUUGUCAUGGGGUUAGGACUGGUGGUUAUGGGGUUAGGACUGGUUGUUAUGGGGUUAGGACUGGUUGUUAUGGGGUUAGGACUGGUUGUUAUGGGGUUAGGACUGGUUGUUAUGGGGUUGGGACUGGUUGUUAUGGGGUUGGGACUGGUUGUUAUGGGGUUAGGACUGGUUGUUAUGGGGUUAGGACUGGUUGUUAUGGGGUUGGGACUGGUUGUUAUGGGGUUGGGACUGGUUGUUAUGGGGUUGGGACUGGUUGUUAUGGGGUUAGGACUGGUUGUUAUGGGGUUGGGACUGGUUGUUAUGGGGUUGGGACUGGUUGUUAUGGGGUUAGGACUGGUUCUUAUGGGGUUAGGACUGGUUGUUAUGGGUUAGGACUGGUUGUUAUGAGGUUAGGACUGGUUGUUAUGAGGUUAGGACUCAUGGGGUUGGGACUGGUUGUUAUGGGGUUGGGACUGGUUGUUAUGGGGUUAGGACUGGUUGUUAUGGGGUUAGGACUGGUGGUUAUGGGGUUGGGACUGGUUGUUAUGAGGUUAGGACUCAUGGGGUUGGGACUGGUUGUUAUGGGGUUAGGACUGGUUGUUAUGGGGUUGGGACUGGUGGUUAUGGGGUUGGGACUGGUUGUUAUGGGGGGUUAGGACUGGUUGUUAUGGGGUUAGGACUGGUUGUCAUGGGGUUAGGAC